Molecule: long non-coding RNA, 230 nt
Filed under: Elaeis guineensis (African oil palm)
Lineage: Eukaryota; Viridiplantae; Streptophyta; Magnoliopsida; Arecales; Arecaceae
Description: long non-coding RNA (EGUI_LNC069042)
Source: RNAcentral
AUCACCAUUUAUUUUGGGCGUGACAAUUAAUUUGUGCAUGGCUUUUGGCAUGGAGGAGAUGGAUCACAUAUGAAACACUCCCAUAAAAUUCAAAUCAGCAACCUAUUUAAAUAUUGAUUCAAACCCAAUCACAUUAGGUCAAGGCAACAAACAAAGGAUUAGCACAAAAACAUUUGCACUGAAUCCAAUUGGAAACUUGGGUUAAUUCAUGUGCUAGCAAUUUAAUUAAC